ACACAUGCAAGUCCAACGUGAAAGGGGAGCAAUCCCCCGGUAGGGUGGCGAACGGGUGAGUAAUACAUGGGAAUCUGCCCUGGAGAUGGGGAUAUCCUUCCGAAAGGAGGGUUAAUACCGAAUAUCGUCCGGGUGACGAGAGUCAUUUGGGGAAAGGGAGGCCUCUGGCAACAUGCUUCCGCUCCGGGAGGAGCCCAUGGCCCAUCAGCUAGUUGGUAGGGUAACGGCCUACCAAGGCAAAGACGGGUAGCUGGUCUGAGAGGACGAUCAGCCACACUGGCACUGAGACACGGGCCAGACUCCUACGGGAGGCAGCAGUGAGGAAUUUUGCGCAAU
This 336-nucleotide ribosomal RNA is filed under the name uncultured Leptospirillum sp. Its description in RNAcentral is "bacterial SSU rRNA". It matches the Rfam family "Bacterial small subunit ribosomal RNA", at positions 51 to 372 of the family's 1533-position model. The record is from RNAcentral. Lineage: Bacteria; Pseudomonadati; Nitrospirota; Nitrospiria; Nitrospirales; Nitrospiraceae.